GUGCUCACUUUGGCAGCACAAAUACUAAAAUUGGAAUGAUACAGAGAAGAUUAGCAUGGCCCCUAGGCAAGGAUGAAAUGAAAAUUUGUGAAGGGUUUCAUAGAAAA
Molecule: small nuclear RNA, 107 nt
Organism: Ochotona curzoniae (black-lipped pika)
Lineage: Eukaryota; Metazoa; Chordata; Mammalia; Lagomorpha; Ochotonidae
Source: RefSeq, a predicted model, not a curated record